AGCUCAAAUUUGAAAUCUGGCUCUUUUGGAGUCCGAGUUGUAAUUUAGAGAAGUGUUAUCUGUGCUGGACCGUGUACAAGUCUCCUGGAAUGGAGCGUCAUAGAGGGUGAGAAUCCCGUCUUUGACACGGACUGCCAGUGCAUUGUGAUGCGCUCUCAAA
RNAcentral lists this ribosomal RNA (160 nucleotides) under Dictyopanus sp. RNAcentral describes it as "partial large subunit ribosomal RNA". It matches the Rfam family "Eukaryotic large subunit ribosomal RNA", at positions 106 to 261 of the family's 3401-position model. The record is from RNAcentral. Lineage: Eukaryota; Fungi; Basidiomycota; Agaricomycetes; Agaricales; Tricholomataceae.